ACUGCUCUUUUGUGGGUAGCCCCUUAUUGCUGAUCAGCCAUGACCUCUCAGAUUCGUCAGAAUUAUUCCACCGAGGUGGAGGCUGCUGUAAACCGCUUGGUGAACCUGCACCUGCGGGCCUCCUACACCUACCUCUCUCUGGGCUACUACUUUGACCGAGAUGAUGUGGCUCUGAAGGGCGUGGGCCAUUUCUUCCUUGAGCUGGCCAAGGAGAAAUGCGAGGGAGCCGAGCAUCUCCUGAAGACGCAAAACCGGCGCGGCGGCCGUGUACUCUUUCAAGACGUGCACAAACCAUCUGAAGAUGAGUGGGGUAAAACCUUGGAUGCCAUGGAAGCUGCCCUGGCCCUGGAGAAGAACCUGAACCGAGCUCUUCUGGACCUUCAUGCUUUGAGCUCUGUCAAGACCGACCCCCGUAUCUGUGAUUUCCUGGAGAACCACUUCCUAGAUGAGGAGGUGAAUCUCAUCAAGAAGAUAGGUGACCACCUCACCAACCUCCGCAGGCUGGCGAGCCCCCAGGCUGGCUGGGCGAGUACCUCUUUGAAAGGCUCACCCUUGAA
This is an RNA transcript of Octodon degus (degu), 557 nucleotides long. It is a transcript of the gene named ferritin light chain pseudogene, with no coding region annotated. NCBI's taxonomy places the organism in Eukaryota, Metazoa, Chordata, Mammalia, Rodentia, Octodontidae. The record is from RefSeq and is a predicted model, not a curated record. The transcript has a single exon.